Long non-coding RNA from Salvelinus fontinalis (brook trout), 1153 nucleotides. RefSeq lists it as uncharacterized. The record is from RefSeq and is a predicted model, not a curated record. The transcript is spliced from 3 exons. Lineage: Eukaryota; Metazoa; Chordata; Actinopteri; Salmoniformes; Salmonidae.
CGCCAAAAAACUGAGCACCGUCACAUAAUGUGACGUAAAUCGGGCGCGCUCAGACUUGCCAUCAUUCUGAUUACCGUAGUCAUUUUGUCACCCUCAUCAUGGCAAAGAAACUGAGAAAUACAUGUGAUGCAGCUUUCAAGUUGAAGGCGAUCAAUCUGGCUGUUGGAAAAGGAAAUAGAGCUGCUGCACGGGAGCUUGGCCUUAAUGAGUCGAUGAUAAGACGUUGGAACUGUGCAGAUCCGACUGAAAGCCAAAACAAUCGCCACCGCAAUGAAGUUUGACUUUCUUGGUUAUAUCAGCUGUUUUGGUGAACCCCUCCCGCAUCUGAACUGGCUGACACAAAGGGCACAGCAUGAUCAUAGGUAUGUUUUGAUGUGAGAGAGGAAGCCAGUCCCGUCAUCGCCACCUCACCCGCUCUUAAGAUAACCUUCGGGUUAACUGGGGGCCCAAGGCUGGUUAGGAGACACCACAAAUGUGAUAAUCUGAGAGAAUAUUAGGGUAGCACUGUAAUUCAUGAAUCAUAUGCUGUCUGCCGCUGUUCUUACCUCUCUCCCAGGCCUCGUCUUUCUUCCUCGUUUUAAAAUGCACACCAUAUGUGCAUUGAAUUACAGAUUGAACUUGUAUUUAUAAUAUUACAAUUAUCAUAAUUAUAAUGCAUUUAUAACACCUGGAACUUCUUUCAAUAAAGUGUUUCACAUUCUCCACUGGUUGAAACUAAGUAUCUCAUUGAAAUAAUAUCCUGUGUCCUCAGAUUAAUGCAGAUGAAGGGAGUUAGAUAUGCAUAGUUUUUUUCUGUAUAUAUGAAUUACAAAUCAAUCAUGUUUCUAGUCUAUUGCAUAGUUACAAUGUGUAAUCAUUGAUGUCCCAGGAGCAGUAAACACUGUUGAAGUGUAUAAUUGUAAUACAUACAUGCAGACACAGCAUUAUUCAAAUAAUGGAGUUUGAUAUGACUGAAAAAAGAAAGUCCCAGAGAUUCAUACCUGAACCACACCUUUAUUGGCCAAGGAAGAGUACAUGAUCAGUGAAUAUAUUCAAUGUACAGGCUACAAUGUGGGAAUCUCAUGCGUGGUAAUAACUACAGUACAUGUGUAUACGACUUGCAUCCUUGGCACAAUAAAGUUAUUAUAUUCUACUCUGUCCAUAAGCUUCGUUA